AGCGAACGCUGGCGGCAGGCCUAACACAUGCAAGUCGAACGGAUCCUUCGGGAUUAGUGGCGGACGGGUGAGUAACACGUGGGAACGUGCCCUUUGGUUCGGAACAACUCAGGGAAACUUGAGCUAAUACCGGGAUGUGCCCUUCGGGGGAAGGAUUUAUCGCCAUUAGAGCGGCCCGCGUCUGAUUAGCUAGUUGGUUGAGGUAAAGGCUCACCAAGGCUACGAUCAGUAGCUGGUCUGAGAGGAUGAUCAGCCACAUUGGGACUGAGACACGGCCCAAACUCCUACGGGAGGCAGCAGUGGGGAAUCUUGCGCAAUGGGCGAAAGCCUGACGCAGCCAUGCCGCGUGAAUGAUGAAGGUCUUAGGAUUGUAAAAUUCUUUCAGCAGGGACG
This 393-nucleotide ribosomal RNA is filed under the name uncultured bacterium. RNAcentral's name for it is "bacterial SSU rRNA". It matches the Rfam family "Bacterial small subunit ribosomal RNA", at positions 29 to 447 of the family's 1533-position model. The record is from RNAcentral.